RNAcentral lists this ribosomal RNA (548 nucleotides) under uncultured bacterium. RNAcentral's name for it is "bacterial SSU rRNA". It matches the Rfam family "Bacterial small subunit ribosomal RNA", at positions 850 to 1398 of the family's 1533-position model. The record is from RNAcentral.
AGCGAAAGCGUUAAGUGAUCCACCUGGGGAGUACGCCGGCAACGGUGAAACUCAAAGGAAUUGACGGGGGCCCGCACAAGCGGAGGAACAUGUGGUUUAAUUCGAUGAUACGCGAGGAACCUUACCCGGGUUUGAACGCAUUCGGACCGAGGUGGAAACACCUCUUCUAGCAAUAGCCGUUUGCGAGGUGCUGCAUGGUUGUCGUCAGCUCGUGCCGUGAGGUGUCGGCUUAAGUGCCAUAACGAGCGCAACCCUUGCCACUAGUUACUAACAGGUAAAGCUGAGGACUCUGGUGGGACUGCCAGCGUAAGCUGCGAGGAAGGCGGGGAUGACGUCAAAUCAGCACGGCCCUUACAUCCGGGGCGACACACGUGUUACAAUGGUGUGGACAAAGGGAUGCCACCUGGCGACAGGGAGCGAAUCCCCAAACCACGUCUCAGUUCGGAUCGGAGUCUGCAACCCGACUCCGUGAAGCUGGAUUCGCUAGUAAUCGCGCAUCAGCCAUGGCGCGGUGAAUACGUUCCCGGGCCUUGUACACACCGCCCGUC